UCAGCCCUAGUCCAUACUGGCUCCAUCGGUUUCUUUUUAUAUGAUCAAGUUGGAGAGUACAAACACAACAGUGCGGAGGAAGCCCCUCUCUAACACACACACACACACACAGACAGGACAAAGGCAGUUGGAUUGAGAUAGGAGCCCAGGCUGGGUGCAAGAGAACCGCUUGACAAUCCCAAACAGGGCAGCAGGAAACAAGACUGCACGGCACAACCAAGAGUCUUCCUGUCUCACACACACACACACACACACACACACAUACACACACACGCACCUUAAGAGAGUUUUACCACAGGAACGUCCAGGAAAAUCCAUCAAAAUGAAAAUCUGAAAGCUCCCAGACACAAUCAAAUGUGCAGUUCGUCCAAACACUGUGGCUGGUGCAUCCGGAGCACAGCGCAGCUGUGUGUAAGACAUCCCGCCGCAGGAAAACAGCAGCGCAGAUGGGCCUGCCCCACGAUCAGAGCCGAGGCGAGCAGUAUACUGCUGCUAAACCUGGCCCAAAACACACGCUUUUACACUUAACAGACAUUAUCACAAUUCAGUCCGCCAAACGAAAUCACGGAGAACCCAGGGGCUAAAGACGCACGCAUUUCGAGGCUGCAGAAUCCAAAGUUGUUAUACUUUACGCAAAUGUCAAAAUAAGUAAACCAUACAUAAUGUGCACCAGUUAUUUUCCACCAAGAAAACUAAAAAUAAACUGCUUCAUAAGUG
This is a long non-coding RNA of Carassius auratus (goldfish), 717 nucleotides long. RefSeq lists it as uncharacterized. The record is from RefSeq and is a predicted model, not a curated record. NCBI's taxonomy places the organism in Eukaryota, Metazoa, Chordata, Actinopteri, Cypriniformes, Cyprinidae. The transcript is spliced from 2 exons.